Long non-coding RNA from Eucalyptus grandis, 1000 nucleotides. RefSeq lists it as uncharacterized. NCBI's taxonomy places the organism in Eukaryota, Viridiplantae, Streptophyta, Magnoliopsida, Myrtales, Myrtaceae. The transcript has 2 exons. The record is from RefSeq and is a predicted model, not a curated record.
UCCAAAUUUGAAAAUCCAAUAAGUUCUCUAAUAAAAACUCUCUCUCUCCUGCUUCACGCCCAUUCUCUCUCUUAAAUCGGCCUAUUGCCAGUUCGCCAUUUGCCACCUGCCGGCCUUACGUCGGUAGUUUCAUGGUCUCCACCCAGCCUCUCGGCGACGUUCUCAUCUCGCCCAAGCUCCUGGUGGUUAGCCCAACCUCUGGCGAGUCCCCAAUCUAGCCAUUUGGCGUUCUCUUUCCUGCGAGUCAAGCAAACCAGCGAUCGACCCGAUAAGGUAGUUCGCUAGUUCCUCUAACCUUGAUUGACGAUCUGCCGACCUCUCGAGCCCUUCUGAUCAUCCCAACGACGUCCAUUAGUGAAUCCCCGACCUUGUGGUUGUCGGGACUUAGCCGAAUAUCCACCGGACGAGCUCCAAUGGUUGAUUCUUUACCAACGAUCCUCAACCUAGCGGAUCGCCCAUCAGUUGCUGAUUGGCAGUGAUCCGACGUCGUUCGACCCUCCUCUGGCGGUCCUCAGGUCCUACGAAGCUCCCUUUACAUCCUCAAGUUACUAUGAAGGCUUGAUUGUUGUCCGAUUGAGCUCAAAUCGCUGAAAUCGUAUCAAAGAUAGGCGUCCUAAAGGGAUCGUUGCAUGAAUACAAAGGCCAACCCUGAGGCCAUUCUUGAUUGUUGGAGUAUUUCUCUUUGGAUGUUUAAUGUGAAAUGACAUGUUGGUUGAUUGAAUUACUUGUUUGAUUACAAUAAGUGACUUUAAAAUCAUUUUUAAUUCACAUCCUAGUUUAGUCAUAUGAAAGAAUUGGAAUAGACCCAUGGAGGUGGCUGUCUUGAAGACCUAAAGACGAUGAAUGGUUGAUAUCUGAUCCAACCCUAUUUUUGUACUAUUCAUUUCCUUGAUUUAUGUUUCAAGUUGUUUUGGCAUUGUAUAAACACCCAAUGAGUUGUGGGCUCUUCUUUGCUUUGUUUUCUUUACUUCUAUCUUAGGAUUGUGUGCCAAAUUUGUGA